Molecule: small nucleolar RNA, 138 nt
Organism: Ornithorhynchus anatinus (platypus)
Lineage: Eukaryota; Metazoa; Chordata; Mammalia; Monotremata; Ornithorhynchidae
Source: RefSeq, a predicted model, not a curated record
CCCCUCUCAGGGUCUCAGCUGGAGAGUUUCCAGUACUCUACCAGUCUCGACUAUGGCAGGGAGAGUCGAGCAGAGGCCUUUCCAUUCCAUUCCUAGCUUGGACAGUGGCUAGCUAGUGGAAGGCAAUUUGCUACAAGU